GGUGGGGGGUGGGGAGUCCCUCAGUUCAGAUUGUGAGAGGGCACAAGCCAGGCCGAGGGACCCCACCAGUGCACA
RNAcentral lists this microRNA precursor (75 nucleotides) under Myotis brandtii (Brandt's bat). RNAcentral's name for it is "mir-9193 microRNA precursor family". It matches the Rfam family "mir-9193 microRNA precursor family". The record is from Rfam by way of RNAcentral. Lineage: Eukaryota; Metazoa; Chordata; Mammalia; Chiroptera; Vespertilionidae.